This is a long non-coding RNA of Brassica rapa (field mustard), 2210 nucleotides long. RefSeq lists it as uncharacterized. Lineage: Eukaryota; Viridiplantae; Streptophyta; Magnoliopsida; Brassicales; Brassicaceae. The record is from RefSeq and is a predicted model, not a curated record.
UAAAUUUAAAAUAAAAACUUAUAAUAGGUUAUUAAUAACGAAAAUAAACUAAUAUUGUCAUAUCAAUAAUUUUUUAAAAAUUAUCAUUUUUAAUUUGGAAAACAUAAUAAAAUUUCAUCAAAUUCUAAGGAAUCACUAAUUUAUGUAAUAUUAAAAAAAAUAUGAGUAAUUUAAUCAAUUUUUUUUAAAAUACUAUCAUAUAUUUUAUGUUUUAUCGGAUCAAUGGUAUCAGAUCAUAGGUUAAUAAUGAUUUUUUUUGGUUUUUACCGAUUAUAUCGGAUUUUUAACUAACAAAUUUUUCAUUAAAUCUGAACCGUAUUAUAUACAAUGUAUCAGGUCUAUAGGUUCAACCAUGAAUCUAGGUCGGAUAUGAAAACAAAUCUUAAAGCUCAAACAUUAUUAUAGAACAACUACCGUAUUUUGAAAAGAAAAAAAAAACAAAUGAUAAAAACCUAAAAUCUUAAUUGUUAUGGUUCGAAAUGAAAAUAAUGGUGGUUUGUAAAUCAGUUUUCGAUCAAUAAAUAAAAAACAAACAAAUCAGCGCUCUUUAAGCGCGGGUCAAAAUCUAAUUCUCCUUAAACAUCAAGCUACUUAAAAUGCCACAUCAUAACAGUAGAAUUUUAAUAAUUUGUAUAUCUUAUAUUUUUGUAUCUUAAACUCUAUAAUAGUUAAAAGUUAUAUUCAUGCAUUAAGCAAAAACCCCUAUUUUCUCUCUGGUCUUCACGCCGCCUCCCUCUUCAACCUUUUUCUGGUUUCUCUUUUGAUCGGCGCGUGGCGGCUCCUUCAGCGCCGGCGCCGGUCAAAAUCUCUUCCUACGUCCUCUGCUUGUCUUGUUGUUCAUCGGUGUGUGACUUACUUUCGUUUUCAGAGGAGAGGAGAUUCGCCUUUACCAAAUCGCUUUUGGCUUUCAGAUUUAGGAUGGAUUUGGUUUCAAAAGUUCCGGAUCUAUGGAUUGACGGUGUUCACUAUCCUCAGUGAUUUUAAUUUGGCUUCUAUAUGUCCACUUUUAUGCCGUUCAUGGCCUGUUCUUGUCUUCUGGAUUAGGUGGUCCUCGCUCCUAGAUGUUCGUUUAGAUCUCGCGGAGAUCUGUUGUUGAUGCCGCUUCAUACCUAGGCUUUCUAUGGUCGUCGUAGAUCAAGCCGCUUCCGGGAAUGUUAGAAAGAAUCUUUACUUGCCGGUUUAUGAAGUUUUGGUUGGUGGGUCCUUGAGGUAUUUCUUCAGAGUGCUAGGAGGAGGAGGUUUGGCCGAGGGCAUUCCCACUAAGCAGCUGCCACAUAUGCUCUAUCUGAUAGUCUCCAUGUAUUUGUUAGUCUUGUUCUAGUAGUUUGGAAGGUUAGUUACUUGUUUAAGUGUGUAGUACCGUUUGUUCUUGUAUGCUGCCCCUGUAUGGGUUCUAGGUUCUGGGGAUAUCGCUGUUUUUUUCCGGUUUAGUUGACCACAGAAGGAUAUGUUAUCUGUUGGUGUUGUGUUGAAUUCUACUUUGCUUUUAAUAAAAUCUGUUGACGGAAAAAAAAACUCUAUAAUAGUUUUGCUAACGUGAAAAAGAAGAAUUUGUGGCUGUUUGAUUAACCAGAUACUGUAUAGUAUAUAUAGUUUUGUUUCUUUUGAACGAUAUGGAAGUGUCGUACUCCCAUGUAAAAAAGGUAAAAAUACCAACUACGUUAACUUGGGAGCACACUAAAGUUUAUAGAUUGUUUGAAAACCAAAGUCAAACGAUGUCAUUUCUGAGACAAUCCUCAAGUCACACCUACUAUAAAAUAAGACAAAUUUAUAGUGGACCAUUCUAUUCUUUUCUUUCCUUUUUAGGUGUAAGGACCAUACCAUUCUUGGAAGUAGUGUUUCAAUAUAAAAUAUUAAAUUUUUGAAGUUAGUUCAAAAAUCUACAUUUAUGAGCUUUUUAAUAAAAACUAAUGGUAAAAUUUUUAAACGUUCCUAUAACCCUUAUAUAUUAAAAAGACAAGCAUUCUAAUAAAUACAUUCACACUAUAAUAGAUAUAUAAGAGCCUUACAAUAAUUUGAUAAUAAGUAUGCUAAUGCGUUCGCACUAUAUUCAUAAAUGUGUUCAUACUAUAUACGUUGCGUUAUUUUUAAUAUAAAACUCACAUACAUUGUUCUAAUAAAACUUUAGAUUUUUCGAUUCAAAUAAAAAUAGAUAACGAAUCAAAAACCAAACUAUAUAUAUAUUAUUUUUAUUGUUUACGGAUAAAGUU